UGGGGAAUUUUGGACAAUGGGCGAAAGCCUGAUCCAGCAAUGCCGCGUGUGUGAAGAAGGCCUUCGGGUUGUAAAGCACUUUUGUCCGGAAAGAAAUCCUUGGCUCUAAUACAGUCGGGGGAUGACGGUACCGGAAGAAUAAGCACCGGCUAACUACGUGCCAGCAGCCGCGGUAAUACGUAGGGUGCAAGCGUUAAUCGGAAUUACUGGGCGUAAAGCGUGCGCAGGCGGUUUGCUAAGACCGAUGUGAAAUCCCCGGGCUCAACCUGGGAACUGCAUUGGUGACUGGCAGGCUGGAGUAUGGCAGAGGGGGGUAGAAUUCCACGUGUAGCAGUGAAAUGCGUAGAGAUGUGGAGGAAUACCGAUGGCGAAGGCAGCCCCCUGGGCCAAUACUGACGCUCAUGCACGAAAGCGUGGGGAGCAAACAGGAUUAGAUACCCUGGUAGUCCACGCCCUAAACGAUGUCAACUAGUUGUUGGGGAUUCAUUUCCUUAGUAACGUAGCUAACGCGUGAAGUUGACCGCCUGGGGAGUACGGUCGCAAGAUUAAAACUUAAAGGAAUUGACGGGGUCAUAGCUGUUUCCU
Molecule: ribosomal RNA, 585 nt
Filed under: uncultured bacterium
Lineage: Bacteria
Description: partial 16S ribosomal RNA
Rfam family: Bacterial small subunit ribosomal RNA
Source: RNAcentral